UUUGUCCUACGGGGCGCAGCAGUGGGGAAUAUUGGGCAAUGGGCGCAAGCCUGACCCAGCAACGCCGCGUGAAGGAAGAAGGCUUUCGGGUUGUAAACUUCUUUUCUCAGGGACGAAGAAAGUGACGGCACCUGAGGAAUAAGCCACGGCUAACUACGUGCCAGCAGCCGCGGUAAUACGUGGGUGGCAAGCGUUAUCCGGAUUUAUUGGGUGUAAAGGGCGUGUAGGCGGGAGCGCAGGUCAGAUGUGAAAACUCAGGGCUCAACCCUGAGCCUGCAUUUGAAACUGUGUUUCUUGA
This 298-nucleotide ribosomal RNA is filed under the name uncultured bacterium. RNAcentral describes it as "partial 16S ribosomal RNA". It matches the Rfam family "Bacterial small subunit ribosomal RNA", at positions 333 to 645 of the family's 1533-position model. The record is from RNAcentral.